AUUGAACGCUGGCGGCAGGCCUAACACAUGCAAGUCGAACGAGUGGCGGACGGGUGAGUAAUGUCUGGGAAACUGCCCGAUUGAGGGGGAUAAAUACUGGAAACGGUAGCUAAUACCGCAUACCAUCGGAUGUGCCCAGAUGGGCUUAGCUUGUGGGUGAGGUAACGGCUCACCUAGACGACGAUCCCUAGCUGUUCUGAGAGGAUGAGCAGCGACCGGUGAACUUAGACACGGUCCAGACUCCUACGGGGGGGAGCAGUGGGUAAUAUUGACCAAGGGGCGGAAGCCUGAUGCAGCGAUGCCGCGUGUAAUAAGAAGGCCUUCGGUUUGUUAAGUAAUUUAAGCGGGGAGGCGUUACCCGCAGAAGAAGCUUCGGCUAACUCCUGGCCAGCAGCCGCGGGAAUAC
This 406-nucleotide ribosomal RNA is filed under the name uncultured bacterium. Its description in RNAcentral is "partial 16S ribosomal RNA". It matches the Rfam family "Bacterial small subunit ribosomal RNA", at positions 30 to 526 of the family's 1533-position model. The record is from RNAcentral.